This 279-nucleotide ribosomal RNA is filed under the name uncultured bacterium. RNAcentral's name for it is "partial 16S ribosomal RNA". It matches the Rfam family "Bacterial small subunit ribosomal RNA", at positions 506 to 784 of the family's 1533-position model. The record is from RNAcentral.
UGCCAGCCGCCGCGGUAAUACGGAGGGUGCGAGCGUUAAUCGGAAUUACUGGGCGUAAAGGGUUCGUAGGUGGUUAGAUAAGUCAGAUGUGAAAGCCCAGGGCUCAACCUUGGAAUUGCAUUUGAAACUGUUUAACUAGAGUUUACUAGAGGAUUGGGGAAUUUCCGGUGUAGCGGUGAAAUGCGUAGAGAUCGGAAAGAACAUCAAUGGCGAAGGCAACAAUCUGGGGUUAAACCGACACUGAGGGACGAAAGCGUGGGUAGCAAACAGGAUUAGAUA